Molecule: ribosomal RNA, 460 nt
Filed under: uncultured bacterium
Lineage: Bacteria
Description: partial 16S ribosomal RNA
Rfam family: Bacterial small subunit ribosomal RNA
Source: RNAcentral
CCUACGGGCGGCAGCAGUGAGGAAUAUUUGUCAAUGGGCGCUAGCCUGAACCAGCCAAGUAGCGUGAAGGAUGACUGCCCUACGGGUUGUAAACUUCUUUUAUAUGGGAAUAAAGUGCAGUAUGUAUACUGCCUUGCAUGUACCCUAUGAAUAAGGUUCGGCUAACUCCGUUCCAGCAGCCGCGGUAAUACGGGGGAGCCGAGCGUUAUCCGGAUUUAUUGGGUUUAAAUGGCGCGUAGGCGGGUUGUUAAGUCGGUUGUGAAAGUUCGCGGCUCAACCGUAAAAUUGCAGUUGAUACUGGCAUCCUUGAGUAAAGUAGAGGUAGGCGGAAUUCGUGGUGUAGCGGUGAAAUGCUUAGAUAUCGCGAAGAACUCCGGUUGCGAAGGCAGCCUGCUGGACUGUAACUGACGCUGAUGCUCGAAGGUGAGGGUAUCGAACAGGAUUAGAUACCCUUGUAGUC